UGAGGCACAAGCUUCCAGAGCCUGCUUAUCAUUCAGACACUGACUGAGGAAUUCUUUGAAGUUCUGAUUAGACUUUGCUACUUGCUCCUGAAUAUGGAUCACAGCUGGUUGAGUUUGGAAUUACACCUGAGAUGCACUAUGACAUUGGAAUUUGCUGGGACUUCUGAAUGAAAGGAAGUUUUUGUCAGACUAGAGAGGAAUAUUCAUCAUCAAAUUGAAUUUGAAUUGGCUGGUAUAUCAGCAUUAAACCAAGCUCACAAUGGAAAAAAUCUCAGCAUGGUUUGUCACAAAUACACCUCUAAGGAGCAAGAGUUAUAUCUUUUUGGGCUAUUUGCUUUGCUUUGUCCAUGAGCCACUGGAGUUCAUGCUGGUGAGAAUUGAGUUCUUCAUCCAACUGGUUAAAGAUCCUCAAUCUGUUUUGAACUGCCUCCAGUUCUAAGUACAGAUGGUCUACCACAGCCCUGCAGGAGGUCCUCUGCUCAGAAAUCCCAUGUUUUAGGUGAUACUGGGCCUUAGUAAGUGAACCAUCC
Tympanuchus pallidicinctus (lesser prairie-chicken) is the source of this 530-nucleotide long non-coding RNA. RefSeq lists it as uncharacterized. Lineage: Eukaryota; Metazoa; Chordata; Aves; Galliformes; Phasianidae. The transcript is spliced from 4 exons. The record is from RefSeq and is a predicted model, not a curated record.